This 850-nucleotide ribosomal RNA is filed under the name Bacillus infantis. RNAcentral's name for it is "bacterial SSU rRNA". It matches the Rfam family "Bacterial small subunit ribosomal RNA", at positions 25 to 857 of the family's 1533-position model. Lineage: Bacteria; Bacillati; Bacillota; Bacilli; Caryophanales; Bacillaceae. The record is from RNAcentral.
CAGGACGAACGCUGGCGGCGUGCCUAAUACAUGCAAGUCGAGCGGACGGAUGGGAGCUUGCUCCCUGAAGUCAGCGGCGGACGGGUGAGUAACACGUGGGCAACCUGCCUGUAAGACUGGGAUAACUUCGGGAAACCGGAGCUAAUACCGGAUAAUGCACAGCCUCUCAUGAGGUUAUGCUGAAAGAUGGUUUCGGCUAUCACUUACAGAUGGGCCCGCGGCGCAUUAGCUAGUUGGUGAGGUAACGGCUCACCAAGGCAACGAUGCGUAGCCGACCUGAGAGGGUGAUCGGCCACACUGGGACUGAGACACGGCCCAGACUCCUACGGGAGGCAGCAGUAGGGAAUCUUCCGCAAUGGACGAAAGUCUGACGGAGCAACGCCGCGUGAGUGAUGAAGGUUUUCGGAUCGUAAAACUCUGUUGUCAGGGAAGAACAAGUGCCGGAGUAACUGCCGGCACCUUGACGGUACCUGACCAGAAAGCCACGGCUAACUACGUGCCAGCAGCCGCGGUAAUACGUAGGUGGCAAGCGUUGUCCGGAAUUAUUGGGCGUAAAGCGCGCGCAGGCGGUCUCUUAAGUCUGAUGUGAAAGCCCACGGCUCAACCGUGGAGGGUCAUUGGAAACUGGGGGACUUGAGUGCAGAAGAGGAAAGUGGAAUUCCACGUGUAGCGGUGAAAUGCGUAGAGAUGUGGAGGAACACCAGUGGCGAAGGCGACUUUCUGGUCUGUAACUGACGCUGAGGCGCGAAAGCGUGGGGAGCAAACAGGAUUAGAUACCCUGGUAGUCCACGCCGUAAACGAUGAGUGCUAAGUGUUAGAGGGUUUCCGCCCUUUAGUGCUGCAGCAAACG